AGCUUUGCGCAGUGGCAGUAUCGUAGCCAAUGAGGUUUAUCCGAGGCGCGAUUAUUGUUAAUUGAAAACUUUUUUUUAAAGUAUAUGUACAGGGGCGCCAGGGUAGCUCAGUGUCCAACUCCUGAUUUCGGCUCAGGUCA
This is a small nuclear RNA of Mustela lutreola (European mink), 140 nucleotides long. RefSeq annotates it as U4 spliceosomal RNA. Lineage: Eukaryota; Metazoa; Chordata; Mammalia; Carnivora; Mustelidae. The transcript has a single exon. The record is from RefSeq and is a predicted model, not a curated record.